This 738-nucleotide long non-coding RNA is filed under the name Homo sapiens (human). Its description in RNAcentral is "non-protein coding lnc-FTCDNL1-4:44". Lineage: Eukaryota; Metazoa; Chordata; Mammalia; Primates; Hominidae. The record is from RNAcentral.
CAGCCCUGUAGGAGACACCUCCAGAGAAAGUAACAGCUCUCAAUUGAUUAGCUGAGAAGCCUCAGGGGCUGGAUCCUGACAUGAACCAGACACCUCCAGAAUUCUAUCCCAAGCAAAAGAUUAUUUCAAGGCCAGAACUCACUCCCUGCUGGAGACUGACUACAAGAUCCACUGAGAUUGAUGUGUAACCUGAUUGGGCCCACAGUGAUGCUAGCCCCUUCACCAGAUGGAACAAUAAUUCCAGACAAGCCAUCAGAGCAGGUCACACCACUUGACACCUUCUCGCCCCCUUGCCUCUCCUGCAUUCCAAACCCCUCUCUUUAAAAUCCCCAUGUUCCCUCCGUAAACUGGGCAGUGCCAAUUGUUGGAAAGAAUUCUGGCACUCUUUUCCUUCUUAGCAUGGAUAAAAAGAUUCACCCUCUUUUUAUCACACCUCACUCUUGUUAUUUUGGCUUCUUUCUACAAGUGGUGAGCAACCGGGCCCCCUUUGCUGGUUAUAGUAUGAACUAUUUUAUUUUUUUUAAUCUACAAUAAAAUAAAAUACAUUCAUUAGAUUUCAAAGUGGUGUUUAAUGGUUUAAGAAAAACUAGUUUUACAUUUGCAACUUGAAUAUAUUAGAUAUUAUUAAAAGCACCACAAUUGUUAAGUACUGCAGUACCUUUUCAUCUUUGAAAGCCCUUUAGAACAUUUGAAAACUCCACUGGCAUAGUUGAUACCUUUCUGGCUGUCUUUUCCCAC